CCAAAAAUUAAAAACCCCGCUUUGUUUCCACCAGCUGAAAACCCUAGCUUAUCCCCGCGAAAACCCCUUUUCUUUCUUUGUUCUCUCUCGAUUCUCAAACCUCCACCGCUUCACUGCCCACCGACGAACUCCGCUCACCUCUUCCCCACCCCCACCUCCGAAAUUCAGUUGUUUCAAAUUUGGGGGUUAUUACCCCAGUUCCUUUCGAUUGCUCUCUGAUUAAACGAUUUAUUACCGAUUGCAAAGCCUUCACAAAUCCUACCUCGAUUCCAUCGCCAUCUACUUCUUCCCAACGGAGACCUGAUUUUACUUCAUCGUCGUCUACUUUUCCCUCUAUCGUUAUCAUUCUCUCUCCACCUGCCUCCACAAACCAUUUGUACCUUAUACCAUUUAACGCCUUUCUCCCAGUUGAAGUUGAAGACAAACACUGAAAUCGAUAUGUUUACUGUUUAGGGUUACCAUGCUCUGUUUCCAGGUUUGACGUUAUCAAUCUGGUUCGUUUUUCUUCAACAAAAUGUAAUUAUGUAAAAAAAUUUACAACAUUGUCAUUCUUUUAUUGGUUUUCUCAUUUGUUUUUCAAGGAAAUCUGGAACAUAUUUCAUCAGUUCUUCUAUUCUAACCGUUAAACAUCUCUAUAAUUGAUCCCCAAAAAGAAAUUUUUAUAAAAAAUACCUUCGAUUCCUUGCUUAACCCCUUGGUGUUUGCGUAAUUAGUUUUUUUCUUGUCACUCUAUUAAUGGAUUUAUUCAGGAAACAACAGUUAUUUUGAUGAUGGAGAAGAACCCAUGUACGGUAGGUAAACCCAUGUUACUAAAUAUUUUUCAUAUUGUGUUCUUUGGCUUUUAUUGCUCAACUCACAAGCUUGUAACCUACAAGAGCAGUUCCACAUGCUCGAGCAACAUUUGGAGGGCAUCUUCUGCAGUGUGAUUUCUAAUCUGUCUCAUAAUGAUGGUGUUCGUCUCUGUAUUGGAGGAUGAAAUCUUUUUACACCUAAAAACAAAAAAAAAAAAAAAAAAAAAAAAAAAAACUUCUACAGCACAAAUGGGACAUAUCACAACUGGCAAAAGUUACAUAUGAUAUAUGCACAAAGAAAAAGAAAUCUCCCCUGGUAUUUUAGAAAUCAUCCUAGAGGUGGGUUUGUGCAACCCCUCCCUCCUGGUCUGGGGUUCAUAGCCCUAACAUAUUUGUAAGUUUUUCAGUUGGGUCAAAUUGUUUUGUCAACUAGGUCCUUUGUUGAUGAAUAUGAUGGAAAAUUUUGUCCAGAUCAUCAACAUGGUGCAGAGAAUAAGUGCUUCCAUUUAUACUUAUGAAUUUAGUAGAAAACCCAAUUGCACUUCACAUGUUUGAUGAAAUGCCUCAAUGAGACAUAUGACUUUAAUUUUCACAAAAUGUAAGGUUACUUGUUUUUGAAUAUUUUCAACAAGAGGUGGUUUUAGAAAGGUGAUGGCUUGGGGUUUAGUUGCGCAACAUGAUAAUCUUCAUAUAAAUGAAUCUUUUUUCCAUCUAUGUUGUGUUUGUUAUGAUGCCUUAUCUUUCUUGUUUUUAAGGUAUAUGCGUUGACAUAGCAAGGUCAAAGCAUGAGCAUUGGUCAUCAUUUGCAUCUCUGCCAUUGGAAGUUGUCAUUCCGGCUGGACAAAAGGCAAGGGAGGAUUCUUAGCAAGGUGUCAAGUUCACCAACUUGACAAUUAUCACAUUCUUGUUUCAUUAUAUUUUUAAAUUUCUUUUAAAUUUGUUAUGAUGGAAUGAAAACAGGUGAUGAUGAUUCUAUAGGCAAAAUCGAUAUUCAUGCCAUCAAUGACAUAUAUGGGGACAAAAAAUAUCGAGAGUAUGCUUUAAGUUGAAAUGGGAAAAGGACUAAAGUUAUAAUUGAAUCUUCCAGGAUUGGUAGUGUGAUAGAAGAGGAAAAAGGACAGAUGCCAAUAUUUUAUAGUGGGAAGGUGAAUGUGUAUGAUGAUAUCCCAACUGAUAAGGAACGUGCCUUAUUACAGCUUGCUGCAAGCCCUCUUCAGUUUCCUCAUGAGGAUCCAGUUGAUGGAAACUUGUUGCAACAACCUCCAAACAUCAAUCUGCCAAUCUUGCGAACAGUGAGAACGACUAAUAACUAUCGAUUGAACAAAGAGGAAAGCAAUAUAUCGCAUGAAGAAAUCUCUGUUGAAGGUUUAGCAAGAAGAAAAGCAUCGGUGCAAAGAAAUCUAGAGAAGUGGAAAUAUAGGUAUUGUGUUACUUGGCUUCACUAUUUCCAGAAAACAUAAACUUGUUUUGGCAAGAUGAGUAUUCUUGCUCAAUGAUUUGUUUCCUACAAUGGAUAGUGCUUAUCAUGCUCGGCCAUCUGGCCAGACCUCUGCAUUGCCUCCUACAAGACAGUAGUACAAAUAAACCUGGUAGUGAAGUGAAGUCUUCUGAGAGACCUGGUAACACAUGAUUACAAAGAAGUUCCUCAAACCAAAUGCAACCACAAAGUGCCUCACACCUCCUGUAAGUUCUCAAAAGAAAAUAAUCGAUUAUGGCAUAAUUCCUCUGUUACGCCGCUUUUUAUUAAGUGAUGAUUAUGAGAAGUUAUCAGCAAUUGAAGCAUAUGAUGCACAAGACGAAUCUUACACAAUGGUCUGGAUCAAGCUUGCCUCUUCAGGAAGUUAGCUCGAUGCUGUUGGAAAAGCUUAUUGCAGCACGUAUUGGAGAUCGACCUGUUGUAUUUGUAACUCAUAGCAUGGGGGGAUUGGUUGUGAAACAGAUGCUACAUCAAGCAAGUGCAGAAAACAGAGGCAAUCUUGUCAAAAACAGUGUUGGUGUGUUACAGGACAUGAGUAUCGGCACAUCAUGGAACAUUUAGGUUAGUUGUUGUUUUUCCUCUUGGUGAUCCAUCAAUGAAGUGGCCAACAUCAUGUAAUAACAUUUUAGGGGAAGAUGUAUGUAUAUGUUUUUUUAAUGAAUAAUGUAAUCAUAUGUAUGAAUAUAAAAUACAGUUUGUUAUUUGUAUGACAAAAAAUUUUAUGUAAUGGAUAGUA
Molecule: non-coding RNA, 3004 nt
Organism: Lactuca sativa (garden lettuce)
Lineage: Eukaryota; Viridiplantae; Streptophyta; Magnoliopsida; Asterales; Asteraceae
Source: RefSeq, a predicted model, not a curated record